This 213-nucleotide long non-coding RNA is filed under the name Mytilus galloprovincialis (Mediterranean mussel). The record is from RNAcentral. Lineage: Eukaryota; Metazoa; Mollusca; Bivalvia; Mytilida; Mytilidae.
UGUAUUGCUCAGGGAGGGUUGGUUAAAUUGUUUUGUUCAGGAAGGGUUUGUUAAAUUGUAUUGCUCAGGGAGGGUUGGUUAAAUUGUAUUGCUCAGGGAGGUUUUGUUAAAUUGUUUUGUUCAGGGAGGGUUUGUUAAAUUGUUUUGUUCAGGAAGGGUUUGUUAAAUUGUAUUGCUCAGGAAGGGUUGGUUAAAUUGUAUUGCUCAGGGAGG